Molecule: long non-coding RNA, 185 nt
Organism: Eucalyptus grandis
Lineage: Eukaryota; Viridiplantae; Streptophyta; Magnoliopsida; Myrtales; Myrtaceae
Exons: 3
Source: RefSeq, a predicted model, not a curated record
CGGGCUUUGUGUCUUCCUUGGCUGGUUUCUCACCAUGAUGUCAAGAUACCACUAGAUAUGAUGAUGUGUAGGCUUGUAAUAGCCUAUAUGAGGUCAUCUCCUCCACAAAAAGCAGCUUUGCAGGCUCUUGUAAUGACAUUGACAAAGGCUCAGCUAGCUUACCUCAAGAAACAAUCAUCUCCAAG